GGCGUCGGCUCUAUCAAACUGGGGCUGCGUCGUUCUUACGAAAGAGAGUUUGACAUGGCGAUCAAUGUUGAGCAGAAAGCUCAAAUCAUGGCCGAGUACCAGCGUGCUGCC
Candidatus Accumulibacter is the source of this 111-nucleotide regulatory RNA element. It matches the Rfam family "Ribosomal S15 leader". Rfam says of the family: The E. coli Ribosomal S15 gene 5' UTR can form two alternative structures. One that is a series of three hairpins, The other includes a pseudoknot. This structure causes translational regulation of the S15 protein. NCBI's taxonomy places the organism in Bacteria, Pseudomonadati, Pseudomonadota, Betaproteobacteria. The record is from Rfam.